GACGUAGGGGGCCAGCGUUGUUCGGAAUUACUGGGUGUAAAGGGCGCGUAGGCGGUCGUGACAAGUCACUUGUGAAAUCUCCGGGCUUAACUCGGAACGGUCAAGUGAUACUGUCGGACUAGAGUACAGAAGGGGCAACUGGAAUUCUCGGUGUAGCGGUGAAAUGCGUAGAUAUCGAGAGGAACACCUGCGGCGAAGGCGGGUUGCUGGGCUGAUACUGACGCUGAGGCGCGAAAGCCAGGGGAGCGAACGGG
RNAcentral lists this ribosomal RNA (254 nucleotides) under uncultured bacterium. RNAcentral describes it as "partial 16S ribosomal RNA". It matches the Rfam family "Bacterial small subunit ribosomal RNA", at positions 524 to 776 of the family's 1533-position model. The record is from RNAcentral.